AGCAGUCGCCGCGGUAAUACGUAGGUGGCAAGCGUUGUCCGGAAUUAUUGGGCGUAAAGGGCUCGCAGGCGGUUUCUUAAGUCUGAUGUGAAAGCCCUCGGCUCAACCGGGGAGGGUCAUUGGAAACUGGGAAACUUGAGUGCAGAAGAGGAGAGUGGAAUUCCACGUGUAGCGGUGAAAUGCGUAGAGAUGUGGAGGAACACGAGUGGCGAAGGCGACUCUCUGGUCUGUAACUGACGCUGAGGAGCGAAAGCGUGGGGAGCGAACAGGAUUAGAUACCCCGGUAGUCCCUGUCUCUUAUAC
RNAcentral lists this ribosomal RNA (303 nucleotides) under uncultured bacterium. RNAcentral's name for it is "partial 16S ribosomal RNA". It matches the Rfam family "Bacterial small subunit ribosomal RNA", at positions 507 to 807 of the family's 1533-position model. The record is from RNAcentral.